RNAcentral lists this ribosomal RNA (390 nucleotides) under uncultured bacterium. Its description in RNAcentral is "bacterial SSU rRNA". It matches the Rfam family "Bacterial small subunit ribosomal RNA", at positions 30 to 417 of the family's 1533-position model. The record is from RNAcentral.
AUUGAACGCUGGCGGCAUGCCUUACACAUGCAAGUCGAACGGCAGCACGGGAGCAAUCCUGGUGGCGAGUGGCGAACGGGUGAGUAAUAUAUCGGAACGUGCCCAGUCGUGGGGGAUAACGUAGCGAAAGCUACGCUAAUACCGCAUACGAUCUAUGGAUGAAAGCGGGGGAUCGCAAGACCUCGCGCGAUUGGAGCGGCCGAUAUCAGAUUAGGUAGUUAGUGAGGUAAAGGCUCACCAAGCCGACGAUCUGUAGCUGGUCUGAGAGGACGACCAGCCACACUGGGACUGAGACACGGCCCAGACUCCUACGGGAGGCAGCAGUGGGGGAAUUUUUGGGACAAUGGGCGCAAGCCUGAUCCAGCAAUGCCGCGUGCAGGAUGAAGGCCU